GGGCGAUUAGCUCAGAUGGUAGAGCGCUGGUUUCACGAACCAGAGGUCAGAGGUUCGAGUCCUCUAUCGCCCACCA
RNAcentral lists this transfer RNA (76 nucleotides) under Pseudomonadota bacterium. Its description in RNAcentral is "tRNA-Val". It matches the Rfam family "tRNA". From Rfam's summary of the family: Transfer RNA (tRNA) molecules are approximately 80 nucleotides in length. Lineage: Bacteria; Pseudomonadati; Pseudomonadota. The record is from RNAcentral. RNAcentral also lists the same sequence under 2 other names.